This 468-nucleotide ribosomal RNA is filed under the name uncultured bacterium. RNAcentral describes it as "partial 16S ribosomal RNA". It matches the Rfam family "Bacterial small subunit ribosomal RNA", at positions 28 to 507 of the family's 1533-position model. The record is from RNAcentral.
GACGAACGCUGGCGGCGUGCUUAACACAUGCAAGUCGAACGGAAAGGCCCUGCUUUUGUGGGGUGCUCGAGUGGCGAACGGGUGAGUAACACGUGAGUAACCUGCCCUUGACUUUGGGAUAACUUCAGGAAACUGGGGCUAAUACCGGAUAGGAGCUCCUGCUGCAUGGUGGGGGUUGGAAAGUUUCGGCGGUUGUGGAUGGACUCGCGGCUUAUCAGCUUGUUUGUGGGGUAGUUGCUUACCAAGGCUUUGACGGGUAGCCGGCCUGAGAGGGUGAACGGCCACAUUGGGACUGAGAUACGGACCAGAAGCCUACGGGAGGCAGCAGUGGGGAAUAUUGCACAAUGGGCGGAAGCCUGAUGCAGAAACGCCGCGUGCGGGAUGACGGCCUUCGGGUUGUAAACAGCUUUCGAAUGUGACGAAGAGUGAGUGACGGUAAUGGGUAAAGAAGCACCGGCUAACUACGUG